This 437-nucleotide ribosomal RNA is filed under the name uncultured Oscillospiraceae bacterium. RNAcentral describes it as "partial 16S ribosomal RNA". It matches the Rfam family "Bacterial small subunit ribosomal RNA", at positions 341 to 792 of the family's 1533-position model. Lineage: Bacteria; Bacillati; Bacillota; Clostridia; Eubacteriales; Oscillospiraceae. The record is from RNAcentral.
ACGGGAGGCAGCAGUGGGGAAUAUUGGGCAAUGGGGGAAACCCUGACCCAGCAACGCCGCGUGAAGGAAGAAGGCCUCCGGGUUGUAAACUUCUUUUAUGAGGGACGAAGGAAGUGACGGUACCUCAUGGAUAAGCCACGGCUAACUACGUGCCAGCAGCCGCGGUAAUACGUAGGUGGCAAGCGUUAUCCGGAUUUACUGGGUGUAAAGGGCGCGUAGGCGGGGAUGCAAGUCAGGUGUGAAAUCUAUGGGCUUAACCCAUAAACUGCACUUGAAACGGUAUCUCUUGAGUGCUGGAGAGGUAGACGGAAUUCCUUGUGUAGCGGUGAAAUGCGUAGAUAUAAGGAAGAACACCAGUGGCGAAGGCGGUCUACUGGACAGUAACUGACGCUGAGGCGCGAAAGCGUGGGGAGCAAACAGGAUUAGAUACCCUGGUA